Molecule: ribosomal RNA, 364 nt
Filed under: uncultured Eubacterium sp.
Lineage: Bacteria; Bacillati; Bacillota; Clostridia; Eubacteriales; Eubacteriaceae
Description: bacterial SSU rRNA
Rfam family: Bacterial small subunit ribosomal RNA
Source: RNAcentral
CUACGGGAGGCAGCAGUAGGGAAUUUUCGUCAAUGGGGGAAACCCUGAACGAGCAAUGCCGCGUGAGUGAAGAAGGCCUUCGGGUCGUAAAGCUCUGUUGUAAAGGAAGAACGUGCACUAUAGGGAAUGAUAGUGUAAUGACGGUACUUUACCAGAAAGCCACGGCUAAUUACGUGCCAGCAGCCGCGGUAAUACGUAGGUGGCAAGCGUUAUCCGGAAUUAUUGGGCGUAAAGGGAGCGUAGGCGGCAAAAUAAGUCUGAGGUAAAAGACAGUGGCUCAACCACUGCAAGCCUUGGAAACUGUUAUGCUAGAGUGCAGGAGAGGUAAAUGGAAUUCCAUGUGUAGCGGUAAAAUGCGUAGAAU